Struthio camelus australis is the source of this 1711-nucleotide long non-coding RNA. NCBI's taxonomy places the organism in Eukaryota, Metazoa, Chordata, Aves, Struthioniformes, Struthionidae. The record is from Ensembl.
AACCGCUCCGGAAAAUCACCCUGCUCAAACAAGGAGGGGGCCACACACCUAGGAAACCUGAGCAGGGAUUUAAUCCGUGCAGGUUUGUGCCCGGGGAGAGCGGGGCGCCUGCCUGCGUCCAAGCCGGUCGCUGUCCUUCACCCAGCCACCAGGAAGCUGUACGCAGGGAGCGGACGCUGGUGACUUCUUUGAUACUGCUAACAGGAAGAUGACCACAGAGGUUAACCACAGAGUAAUGUACGAAACCGGGGUACAACACAUUCCAUUGUCAGCCAGGAAAAGCCUCUACAGCCGCACUGGAAAAUCAACAGAGUUUGCGAGAAACUUUUCUGUGAAUGUCAAUAACUCACUGCUGGGAAUUUGGCCCUCUCCAAUCAGCACCUUUCCAGACUGGCUGAACAAACACGAGGGAGUUAUACCUGUUAGCUUAGGUGUUCAGGAGCGCUCUCUGAGCCACUGUCGCCUAGGCUCACCUGGCUAACCAUUAGCAGGGGGCUCCUCUGGUUGGAGAUACACCCGUUGCCAAAACACGGCGCAGCAUGUCUUAUCGCAGGCAGCCGAAAGACUCAACAGUAUCACCUUGGGCAAACAUUUGUUUGCAGCGUGCAAUUCAUUUGGCGGAAGAGCACCCGCCUCUCUGUGGGAAGGGAAAGCGCUGGGUGCCUUCGGGUAUUUCUUUUAAAAGGAGCCCCUCAGGAAGCAGCAGAAGUUGUAGCCCUGAGCUGAUCCCAUAAGGAGUUCCUCCUUCCUACCUUUUGUCAAGGGAUCCUGUGCUCUUUUUCUCUUCUUUAGCAGCGCAUCAGCUCUGUCUUUGGUGCAAAAAUAUUCUCCUUCAGCUUGGGCUUCUUGUGGGAUGUUGUGUUCAUAUGGAACAGUGACCUACACCAAUGGGAAGACCAGUCAGUCCACAAAUUACUCUGCGUUCCAGGGAGCUGAUGGCUGGGAUGGAUUGCCAUAUCCCUGUGACAAAUGUUGGCAUUCAAAAACCCUCUUGACUCUAUCUGGAAAGAAUAAUAUUUCUAUCCCUUGUUAACAAGCUGGGUAGCAAUGUGGAAAAGGGGUUUGGCAUCUCAUGUAGGAAGAACUGUCAUCUCUGUCACCAGUGAGUCCAGGCAGGUGGGCAUUUGUCGUAUCUCAUUGCCUCCCAGAACAGGAAUCCCCAGAGUGAAAGUGUCGCCAGACCCAAGGCAGUCGAAGUUAAUGGACUAAGAAAAGCAAACAAACCUCGCUGUCCGUUGUGUUGGGCUCAUCAGAGUCCUGCUUCCCAGACUCAACAUCCUCAUCGUCUAAGGAAAUACAAAAAGAAGGUUUUUUUUUGGCUGGUAUGGGGCCUGACAAACUCAUGAGCAUGGAAAGAGCCCCAGGCCCAGGCUCUGACAGCAGAGAGCCUUCAUUAGCAGGCAUCUGCAUUAAUGACACUUCGAAAGUACAAAGACGUGCUGGGACAGUCCAGAAACAAAGCCAUGUCUCUGACACGCCCUGGCUGCCUGGGGCAGGAGCCAGCACGGCUAGCAGAAAGGACCGGAGGGCCCUGGAGAGCCUGCCCGGGGCUGUACACAAGUGAAGCAGAAAACAAAUUCAGCCAUAAACUGUAUUGUGAAGCAGAACUACUCCGAGCUAUACGAAUUGAAAUGAAUGUUUAUAGGAGGGCCAAGAAAGGUGUCUGGGGAACCAGCUUCCAAUAAAACCGCAUCCUUAGGACUUUGCUACA